Mesocricetus auratus (golden hamster) is the source of this 676-nucleotide long non-coding RNA. RefSeq lists it as uncharacterized. The record is from RefSeq and is a predicted model, not a curated record. The transcript is spliced from 5 exons. NCBI's taxonomy places the organism in Eukaryota, Metazoa, Chordata, Mammalia, Rodentia, Cricetidae.
UCCUGCCAUGACAAUAAUGGACUAAACCUCUGAACUAUGAUUCGUGUAUUGGUGAAGAUGGGGUAUUCAAGGCAUCAACCAUUACAGUAUUGAAAUCAAUGUGCACCUUUACACAUGGUGAUUUUUCCUUUGAAAUGGACUGGAGACACAUGCUGGAAAAGUCAUGAUAAAGAACAACAGGUCCUCUGCUGACAGAGCAGUUUUGGUGACGGAGUAAACCCAGAAAGCAUGGCAAAGUGCGUGCAGGCUCUUAAAGCUCCACACACGGUACGUCACUGAAACUCACAUUUCAUUGGGCAAAGCGCUUACCUACCUUACGUCAUCAUGGAAGCAUAAUUCUCCAGUGAGUCUGGAAGGGCGUAGACCUGGACACCCUGGCCAACCGGAGCAACUAGAAAUUUGUUUGUAGCAGGUUAACAAACCAGACAUCAUCUUCGGAUAAUAAAUGACAAGAAGAUAACUGCAGAAAAGUCAAGACUGAGAAGAAUGCCAUUCCAGAAUCCCAUGUAACAAUUUAAUAUGAAAACAUGCAUAGGGUCUGAUUCCCUUUCUUUCUAAAUCUGAUUAGAUGUCAUAAGGAGGAUUUUGGGGUUACUUUGUACCCUAUUAAAACUGACUUGUGAAGCAACCUUGUUUCUAAUCUAAAUUUAAACUUAAAAAUAAAUAAUAAUAAAAA